CCUACGGGGGGCAGCAGUGAGGAAUAUUGGUCAAUGGGCGCGAGCCUGAACCAGCCAAGUAGCGUGAAGGAUGACUGCCCUACGGGUUGUAAACUUCUUUUCUCAGGGACGAAGCAAGUGACCGUACCUGAGGAAUAAGCCACGGUUAACUACGGGCCAGCAGCCGCGGGAAUACGUAGGUGGCGAGCGUUAUCCGGAUUUACUGGGUGUAAAGGUUGUGUAGGCGGGAAAGCAAGUCAGAUGUGAAAACCAUGGGCUCAACCUGUGACCUGCAUUUGAAACUGUUUUUCUUGAGUACAGGAGAGGUAGGCGGAAUGCAUAGUGUAGCGGUGAAAUGCGUAGAUAUUAGGAAGAACACCAGUGGCGAAGGCAGUCUGCUGGACAGCAACUGACGCUGAGGCGCGAAAGCGUGGGGAGCAAACAGGAUUAGAUACCCCGGUAGUC
Molecule: ribosomal RNA, 444 nt
Filed under: uncultured bacterium
Lineage: Bacteria
Description: partial 16S ribosomal RNA
Rfam family: Bacterial small subunit ribosomal RNA
Source: RNAcentral